Molecule: ribosomal RNA, 577 nt
Filed under: Pseudozyma hubeiensis
Lineage: Eukaryota; Fungi; Basidiomycota; Ustilaginomycetes; Ustilaginales; Ustilaginaceae
Description: partial large subunit ribosomal RNA
Rfam family: Eukaryotic large subunit ribosomal RNA
Source: RNAcentral
GGAAGAGCCCAAGAUUGAAAGCUGGCGCCUUCGGCGUCCGCAUUGUAAUCUCAAGAAGUGUUUUCCGCUUCGGACCAUGCCUAAGUCCCUUGGAAAAGGGCAUCAUAGAGGGUGAUAAUCCCGUACAUGGCAUGGAGCGCCCGAAGCUUUGUGAUACGCUUUCUAAGAGUCGAGUUGUUUGGGAAUGCAGCUCAAAAUGGGUGGUAAAUGCCAUCUAAGGCUAAAUAUUGGGGAGAGACCGAUAGCGAACAAGUACAGUGAUGGAAAGAUGAAAAGAACUUUGAAAAGAGAGUUAAACAGUACGUGAAAUUGCCAAAAGGGAAGGGUAGGAGGUCAGAGAUGCGUCGCAGGAUUCAGCCUUGCUUUUGCUUGGUGUUUUUCCUGCGUUGCAGGCCAACGUCGGUUUUGGGCACUGGAGAAGGGUAGGAGGAACGUGGCACCUCUCGGGGUGUGUUAUAGCCUCCUACUGGAUACAGCGACCGAGACCGAGGAACGCAGCGUACUCGUAAGAGCGGGCCUUUUGGCACCUUUACGCUUAGGGCGUUGGCAUAAUGGCCCUCUACCACCCGUCUUGAAA